GAUGAACGCUGGCGGCGUGCCUAAUACAUGCAAGUCGAGCGAACAGACGAGGAGUUUGCUCCUCUGACGUUAGCGGCGGAGGGGUGAGUCACAUGUGUAUAACCUACCUAUAAGACUGGGAUAAUUUCGGGAAACCGGAGCUUAUACCGGAUAAUAUAUUGAACCGCAUGGUUCAAUAGUGAAAGUCGGUUUUUCUGUCACUAAUAGAUGGCUACGCGCCGCAUUAGCGAGUUGGUAAGGUAAAGGCUUACCAAGGCAACGAUGCGUAGCCGACCUGAGAGGGUGAUCGGCCACACGGGAAGUGAGACACGGUCCAGACUCCUACGGUAGGCAGCAGUAGGGAAUCUUCCGCAAUGGGGGAGAACCUGACGGAGCAACGCCGCGUGAGGGAUGAAGGUGUUAGGAUCGUAAAGCUCUGUUAUUCGGGGAGAACAAAUGUGUAAGUAACUAUGCUCGUAUUGACGGUACCGGGUCAAAAAGCCACGGCUAACUACGUG
This 497-nucleotide ribosomal RNA is filed under the name uncultured bacterium. RNAcentral's name for it is "partial 16S ribosomal RNA". It matches the Rfam family "Bacterial small subunit ribosomal RNA", at positions 28 to 507 of the family's 1533-position model. The record is from RNAcentral.